CAGACACCAACUACAAAGUGGCUUGCUGUUCGAACUAUUUUUAUUCACAAAAAGAGAGAAAAUGUUUGCCUUGUUUUGAUGGUUACUAUGGGUACAACUGCAACAAGACAUGUCCAGCGGGAUUCUAUGGUAGUUCCUGCACCUCAGAGUGUAUUUGUGAUUUUGACAAGUGCGACUUCAGAUAUGGUUGUGAAAGUCAGGUCACAACAGAGGCUUCUAAGACAACUGUAGCAAUCACAACAGAAAUAGAAUAUACAUCUAAAAAAGAAGACACACCUCCAACGAGUACGGUAAAUCACUUAUCCAGUCA
Molecule: long non-coding RNA, 310 nt
Organism: Saccostrea echinata
Lineage: Eukaryota; Metazoa; Mollusca; Bivalvia; Ostreida; Ostreidae
Exons: 3
Source: RefSeq, a predicted model, not a curated record